UGAAAAUGCGUAGAUAUAUGGGAAGAAACACCAGUGGCGAAGGCCGGCUGUCUGGUCUGCAACUGACGCUGAGGCUCGAAAAGCAUGGGUAGCGAACAGGAUUAGAUACCCUGGUAGUCCAUGCCGUAAACGAUGAUUACUAAAGUGUUGGAGGGUUUCCGCCCUUCAGUGCUGCAGCUAACGCAUUAAGUAAUCCGCCUGGGGAGUACGACCGCAAGGUUGAAACUCAAAAGAAUUGACGGGGGCCCGCACAAGCGGUGGAGCAUGUGGUUUAAUUCGAAGCUACGCGAAGAACCUUACCAGGUCUUGACAUCUUCUGACAGUCUAAGAGAUUAGAGGUUCCCUUCGGGGACAGAAUGACAGGUGGUGCAUGGUUGUCGUCAGCUCGUGUCGUGAGAUGUUGGGUUAAGUCCCGCAACGAGCGCAACCCUUAUUACUAGUUGCCAGCAUUAAGUUGGGCACUCUAGUGAGACUGCCGGUGACAAACCGGAGGAAGGUGGGGACGACGUCAAAUCAUCAUGCCCCUUAUGACCUGGGCUACACACGUGCUACAAUGGAUGGUACAACGAGUCGCGAGACCGCGAGGUUAAGCUAAUCUCUUAAAACCAUUCUCAGUUCGGACUGUAGGCUGCAACUCGCCUACACGAAGUCGGAAUCGCUAGUAAUCGCGGAUCAGCAUGCCGCGGUGAAUACGUUCCCGGGCCUUGUACACACCGCCCGUCACACCAUGAGAGUUUGUAACACCCAAAGCCGGUGGGGUAACCUUUUAGGAGCUAGCCGUCUAAGGUGGGACAGAUGAUUAGGGUGAAGUCGUAACA
Molecule: ribosomal RNA, 818 nt
Filed under: Pediococcus pentosaceus
Lineage: Bacteria; Bacillati; Bacillota; Bacilli; Lactobacillales; Lactobacillaceae
Description: bacterial SSU rRNA
Rfam family: Bacterial small subunit ribosomal RNA
Source: RNAcentral